UACGGAGGGUGCAAGCGUUAAUCGGAAUUACUGGGCGUAAAGCGCACGCAGGCGGUUUGUUAAGUCAGAUGUGAAAUCCCCGGGCUCAACCUGGGAACUGCAUCUGAUACUGGCAAGCUUGAGUCUCGUAGAGGGGGGCAGAAUUCCAGGUGUAGCGGUGAAAUGCGUAGAGAUCUGGAGGAAUACCGGUGGCGAAGGCGGCUCCCUGGACGGAAACUGACGCUCAGGUGCGAAAGCGUGGGGAGCAAACAGG
This 253-nucleotide ribosomal RNA is filed under the name uncultured bacterium. RNAcentral's name for it is "partial 16S ribosomal RNA". It matches the Rfam family "Bacterial small subunit ribosomal RNA", at positions 524 to 776 of the family's 1533-position model. The record is from RNAcentral.